This 253-nucleotide ribosomal RNA is filed under the name uncultured bacterium. Its description in RNAcentral is "partial 16S ribosomal RNA". It matches the Rfam family "Bacterial small subunit ribosomal RNA", at positions 524 to 776 of the family's 1533-position model. The record is from RNAcentral.
UACGUAGGGUGCAAGCGUUAAUCGGAAUUACUGGGCGUAAAGCGUGCGCAGGCGGUUUUGGAAGUUUGUCGUGAAAUCCCCGGGCUCAACCUGGGAAUUGCGAUGAAGACUGCAAAGCUGGAGUCUGGCAGAGGGGGGUAGAAUUCCACGUGUAGCAGUGAAAUGCGCAGAUAUCAGGAGGAACACCAAUGGCGAAGGCAGCACUCUGGGACGGUACUGACGCUGAGACGCGAAAGCUAGGGGAGCAAACAGG